Long non-coding RNA from Mesocricetus auratus (golden hamster), 807 nucleotides. RefSeq lists it as uncharacterized. NCBI's taxonomy places the organism in Eukaryota, Metazoa, Chordata, Mammalia, Rodentia, Cricetidae. The record is from RefSeq and is a predicted model, not a curated record. The transcript is spliced from 4 exons.
AGCACCCUGUGCUGGCAGAGGGAGAAAUGUGAGCCUCUGCUGCGCCAGGAACAGGCUUUGUACAAACUCUCUGGUUUCAAGUUGUGCGUCGGGAGUCUCUGGGAAGGUGCCCCAGGGACAAAGCUCGCUUUUGGAGGGCCCUGAGGAUUGAUGAGAAUCCCAAGUCCCCAGCACACAGAGGGCAAGCAGAUGUCCUGUGGGCAUGGUAGAGGACAGAGAUCCAGGCCUGAAGAGCUGUCGCAGCCCUUGUUGUGCUGACUGAUCUGAGCAUAUCAGGCCCAACCUCAUGGAGGUACUGGAACUUUUCUGCAAGACCUCUGUAGGCCUCCUCGGGCCCUGCUGCCCACUGCACAGGUGGAAGUGGAGCCCUCAUCCAGUAACUGAUGGAACCAGACACAGAGAUCCGCAACCAAGCACCAGGCCGAGCUCCCGGAAUCUGGUCAAAGAGAGGGAGAAGAGAAUAUAUGAGCAAAGGAGGUCAAGAUUAUGAUGGAGAAAUCUAAAGAUACAGCUGAACCAAGCUCAUGGAAACUCAUGAACUCUAGACCAGCAGCUGGGGAGGCUCCAGGGGACCGAACUAGGCCCUCCAUAUGUGGGAGGCAGUUGUGAAGUUUGGACUGUCUGAGGGGCCCCUGGCAGUAGGACCAUGAUACAAUCCUGGUACAUGAGCUAGCUUGUUGGAGCCCAUUUCCUAUGGGGGGACACCAUGCUCAGCGUUAAUCAUGGGAUAGGGGAUUGGUCCUCCCCCAACCUACUGUGCCAGACUUUGUUGACUCCUCAUGGGAGGAGUGAACUCGGGGUGGGCUG